GCGCCGCUAGCUCAGUUGGUUAGAGCAGCUGACUCUUAAUCAGCGGGUCCGGGGUUCGAGUCCCUGGCGGCGCACCA
This 77-nucleotide transfer RNA is filed under the name Streptomyces actuosus. RNAcentral's name for it is "tRNA-Lys". It matches the Rfam family "tRNA". Rfam says of the family: Transfer RNA (tRNA) molecules are approximately 80 nucleotides in length. Their secondary structure includes four short double-helical elements and three loops (D, anti-codon, and T loops). RNAcentral also lists the same sequence under 665 other names. The record is from RNAcentral. Lineage: Bacteria; Bacillati; Actinomycetota; Actinomycetes; Kitasatosporales; Streptomycetaceae.